UCCUACGGGGUGCUGCAGUGGGGAAUGCCAAGGGCSAAGCCUGGAAUGCAGCGACGCCGGCGUUGAGGGAUGACGGCCUUCGGGUUGUAAACCUCUUUCAGCAGGGCAAGAAGCGAAAGUGACGGUACCUGCAGAAGAAGCGCCGGCUAACUACGUGCCAGCAGCCGCGUGUAAUACGUAGGGCGCAAGCGUUGUCCGGAAUUAUUGGGCGUAAAGAGCUCGUASGCGGCUUGUCACGUCGAUUGUGAAAGCCCGAGGCUUAACCUCGGGUCUGCAGUCGAUACGGGCUAGCUAGAGUGUGGUAGGGGAGAUCGGAAUUCCUGGUGUAGCGGUGAAAUGCGCAGAUAUCAGGAGGAACACCGGCGAAGGCGGAUCUCUGGGCCCAUUACUGACGCUGAGGAGCGAAAGCGUGGGGAACAGGAUUAGAUACCCCUGGUAGUCAAAA
Molecule: ribosomal RNA, 445 nt
Filed under: Streptomyces yaanensis
Lineage: Bacteria; Bacillati; Actinomycetota; Actinomycetes; Kitasatosporales; Streptomycetaceae
Description: bacterial SSU rRNA
Source: RNAcentral